This 185-nucleotide non-coding RNA is filed under the name Hydrogenophilaceae bacterium. Its description in RNAcentral is "6S RNA". It matches the Rfam family "6S / SsrS RNA". Rfam says of the family: E. coli 6S RNA was the first non coding RNA to be sequenced, but its function was unknown until recently. It consists of 184 nucleotides that fold into an extended hairpin structure with a large single-stranded internal bulge. The 6S RNA specifically associates with RNA polymerase holoenzyme containing the sigma70 specificity factor. Lineage: Bacteria; Pseudomonadati; Pseudomonadota; Hydrogenophilia; Hydrogenophilales; Hydrogenophilaceae. The record is from RNAcentral.
CGUUCCCUGCGGUGUUCGAGACAGUUGGCAAUUUCUCUGAACCAAUGCAUACGUGCAAGGCCGCGGCUAACCUGGGUGUGGGUGUGCGCGCAACACGUCUUGUGUGCCCAAAGCAUCUUCAGCUGCAGCCAUCUUGAACCCAGGUUCAAGAGUCCGCCGGUUGUCACGGCACAGGCGGGGAACAC